RNAcentral lists this ribosomal RNA (253 nucleotides) under uncultured bacterium. RNAcentral's name for it is "partial 16S ribosomal RNA". It matches the Rfam family "Bacterial small subunit ribosomal RNA", at positions 524 to 776 of the family's 1533-position model. The record is from RNAcentral.
UACAGAGGGUGCGAGCGUUAAUCGGAAUUACUGGGCGUAAAGCGCACGUAGGUGGCGACGUAAGUCGGGUGUGAAAGCCCCGGGCUCAACCUGGGAAUUGCAUUCGAGACUGCAUUGCUGGAGUACGGAAGAGGAAGGCGGAAUUCCCGGUGUAGCGGUGAAAUGCGUAGAUAUCGGGAGGAACAUCAGUGGCGAAGGCGGCCUUCCGGUCCAGUACUGACACUCAAGUGCGAAAGCGUGGGGAGCAAACAGG